AUUUUUCUAGUAUAUAAAGUAUAAUUGACUUCCAAUCAGUAGGUCUGGACUGCCAGGAAAAAUA
RNAcentral lists this transfer RNA (64 nucleotides) under Rimicaris kairei. Its description in RNAcentral is "tRNA-Gly". The record is from RNAcentral. Lineage: Eukaryota; Metazoa; Arthropoda; Malacostraca; Decapoda; Alvinocarididae.